RNAcentral lists this long non-coding RNA (377 nucleotides) under Lepisosteus oculatus (spotted gar). RNAcentral describes it as "lncRNA (ENSLOCG00000021865.1)". The record is from RNAcentral. Lineage: Eukaryota; Metazoa; Chordata; Actinopteri; Semionotiformes; Lepisosteidae.
GCCCCGUGACGCUGUGUAAUCCUGGGGCGUGUCUGUGCCCGCAGACGGUGCAGUAUCUGAAGCGGUGCCAUUUGGAGGUGGGGAUGAAGAACAAUGUGAAGUACGAGCUCACCAAAGAGAUCGUGUGUCGCCAGCUGCUGAGGAGGCUUGGGGUGUUUGUGCCUCCUCACGCCCUGAGGUUGCCCGAUGAGCCUAUCACCCGGUGGGGGGAGUACUGGUGUGAGGUCACGGUGAACGGCCUCGAAACCGUCCGCAUCCCCAUGUCCGUGGUCAACUUCAUGAAGCCCAAGACGCGCGCAUACAAGAACUGGCUGAAGAAGGAGCAAGCAGAAUCCCAGGAUUCCAAUCCGGAUGAGACUGGGAAAGAGGACUCUUGA